UAGAUUUACAGGUCAGAUUGAACGCUGGCGGCAGGCCUAACACAUGCAAGUCGAGCGGAUGACGGGAGCUUGCUCCUUGAUUCAGCGGCGGACGGGUGAGUAAUGCCUAGGAAUCUGCCUGGUAGUGGGGGACAACGUUUCGAAAGGAACGCUAAUACCGCAUACGUCCUACGGGAGAAAGCAGGGGACCUUCGGGCCUUGCGCUAUCAGAUGAGCCUAGGUCGGAUUAGCUAGUUGGUGGGGUAAUGGCUCACCAAGGCGACGAUCCGUAACUGGUCUGAGAGGAUGAUCAGUCACACUGGAACUGAGACACGGUCCAGACUCCUACGGGAGGCAGCAGUGGGGAAUAUUGGACAAUGGGCGAAAGCCUGAUCCAGCCAUGCCGCGUGUGUGAAGAAGGUCUUCGGAUUGUAAAGCACUUUAAGUUGGGAGGAAGGGCAGUAAGUUAAUACCUUGCUGUUUUGACGUUACCGACAGAAUAAGCACCGGCUAACUCUGUGCCAGCAGCCGCGGUAAUACAGAGGGUGCAAGCGUUAAUCGGAAUUACUGGGCGUAAAGCGCGCGUAGGUGGUUCGUUAAGUUGGAUGUGAAAGCCCCGGGCUCAACCUGGGAACUGCAUCCAAAACUGGCGAGCUAGAGUACGGUAGAGGGUGGUGGAAUUUCCUGUGUAGCGG
RNAcentral lists this ribosomal RNA (674 nucleotides) under Pseudomonas monteilii. Its description in RNAcentral is "bacterial SSU rRNA". It matches the Rfam family "Bacterial small subunit ribosomal RNA", at positions 1 to 681 of the family's 1533-position model. The record is from RNAcentral. Lineage: Bacteria; Pseudomonadati; Pseudomonadota; Gammaproteobacteria; Pseudomonadales; Pseudomonadaceae.